RNAcentral lists this ribosomal RNA (774 nucleotides) under uncultured Neocallimastigales. RNAcentral's name for it is "partial large subunit ribosomal RNA". It matches the Rfam family "Eukaryotic large subunit ribosomal RNA", at positions 24 to 636 of the family's 3401-position model. The record is from RNAcentral. Lineage: Eukaryota; Fungi; Neocallimastigomycota; Neocallimastigomycetes; Neocallimastigales.
GUAGUCUCGCACAGAUGCAUAUCAAUAAGCGGAGGAAAAGAAACUAACAAGGAUUCCCCUAGUAACGGCGAGUGAAGCGGGGAAGAGCUCAAAUUUGAAAUCUUAAAGGGUUUCCCUUUACGAAUUGUAGUUUAAAGAAGUGUUUUCUGUUGAGGUUUUGGUAAAAGUUCUUUGGAAUAGGACAUCAUAGAGGGUGAGAAUCCCGUAUUUGACCUUUACUUUCAACUUUGUGAUACACUUUCAAAGAGUCGGAUUGUUUGGGAAUGCAGUCCAAAAUGGGUGGUAAAUUUCAUCUAAAGCUAAAUAUUGGCGAGAGACCGAUAGCGAACAAGUACCGUGAGGGAAAGAUGAAAAGAACUUUGAAAAGAGAGUUAAACAGUACGUGAAAUUGUCAAAAGGGAAGCGUUUGACACCAGUGUUGUUUUUCUGAAAAUCAAUUAAAGAACUGUUUAUGCUAAGCUGUUUAGACUUUAUCAGCUAUCUGUUUAGUUUUGAGCUUUUCUUUAAUGCACUUUUCAGUUAACAAGUCAACAUCAAUUUCUUUCGCUGUAAAAAAGCUUGAGGAAGGUGGCUUGAGAUUCGUCUUAAGUGUUUAUAGCCUCUUGCCUAUGCAGUCGGAGAGAUUGAGGUCUGCAGCGUAGAUCCUUCGGGGCUAAAUGCAUUUGUGCUAAGUUAUAGCAUUUUAUAGACAACUUGUUGACUAUGAUUUGUCUUGUAGCUUACUCGCUUAUGUUAUUUUACCUACGCUUAGGAUGUUGACAGCAGUAUAGACUG